GAUGAACGCUAGCGGCAGGCUUAAUACAUGCAAGGCGAAGGGGCAGCAAUGUCACUGUCGUACGGGUGCGUAACGCGUAUGCAACCUACCUAUCACUGGGGGAUAGGCCCCGGGGGAAAACCCGGAUUAAUACCGCAUAAUACAGGGGCACAGCAUUGUGCUAUUUGUUAAAGAUUUAUUGGUGAUAGAUGGGCAUGCGU
This 200-nucleotide ribosomal RNA is filed under the name uncultured bacterium. RNAcentral describes it as "partial 16S ribosomal RNA". It matches the Rfam family "Bacterial small subunit ribosomal RNA", at positions 28 to 236 of the family's 1533-position model. The record is from RNAcentral.